Molecule: ribosomal RNA, 461 nt
Filed under: uncultured Bacteroidota bacterium
Lineage: Bacteria; Pseudomonadati; Bacteroidota
Description: bacterial SSU rRNA
Rfam family: Bacterial small subunit ribosomal RNA
Source: RNAcentral
GCCUAACACAUGCAAGUCGAGGGGCAGCAUAAAGAUAGUUUACUAUUUUGGUGGCGACCGGCGCACGGGUGAGUAACGCGUAUGCAACCUACCUUAUACAGGAGUAUAGCCCGAAGAAAUUCGGAUUAAUCCUCCAUAGUAUUUUCUAAUGGCAUCAUUUGGAAAAUUAAAGCUUCGGCGGUAUAAGAUGGGCAUGCGUCCUAUUAGCUAGAUGGUAAGGUAACGGCUUACCAUGGCAACGAUAGGUAGGGGGCCUGAGAGGGUGAUCCCCCACACUGGUACUGAGACACGGACCAGACUCCUACGGGAGGCAGCAGUGAGGAAUAUUGGGCAAUGGAGGCAACUCUGACCCAGCCAUGCCGCGUGCAGGAAGAAUGCCCUAUGGGUUGUAAACUGCUUUUAUUUAGGAAUAAACCCUUCUACGUGUAGAAGGCUGAAUGUACUAAACGAAUAAGCACCGG